AUCUGGUUCAUCCUUGGGAGCAAUUUCCAAAUGCCGGAAGGUGCCGAAUGGGAGGAGAAGAGGUUGAAGCUGGGGUCUGCCCUGACUUUGGCUUCUCUACGGAUGAAGUUGGCGAACACCCAGAAUGGAAGGUGACAUUGUUUUAUAGCUUGACGUUUGACCCAUAUGAUGUCCACGUUUCCUGCAGGCCAUAUGGGAGCUUCUCUACGAUAGGGCUCACCCCUCUGGAUGUCUCCAGGUAUGAUAGGCCAGGGCACAAACAUUCCCUGUGAACAGAGAUGAAGAGAUUGCAUUGAUGUCGACCACGAUGACUGUCUGAAGAAACCCUAUGUAAGCUGUAUGGAUAAAUGUCAACAAAAAAAAAUACAAACCAACAAUAUUAAGGACAAAGUGUCUGAAACAUUCAAACUUUCCCUAAAGUUUAACUUUAAGUGAAACAAAUUUAGAAAUGACGACAAAUAUUUCUUCAU
Molecule: long non-coding RNA, 470 nt
Organism: Oncorhynchus tshawytscha (Chinook salmon)
Lineage: Eukaryota; Metazoa; Chordata; Actinopteri; Salmoniformes; Salmonidae
Exons: 3
Source: RefSeq, a predicted model, not a curated record